ACGCUCGACACCUACGGGAGGCAGCAGUGGGGAAUAUUGCACAAUGGGGGAAACCCUGAUGCAGCGACGCCGCGUGGAGGAAGAAGGUCUUCGGAUUGUAAACUCCUGUUGUUGGGGAAAAANAGGAUGGUACCCAACAAGGAAGUGACGGCUAACUACGUGCUAGCAGCCGCGGUAAUCUGAGCGGGCUGGCAAGGC
This 198-nucleotide ribosomal RNA is filed under the name uncultured bacterium. RNAcentral's name for it is "partial 16S ribosomal RNA". It matches the Rfam family "Bacterial small subunit ribosomal RNA", at positions 328 to 539 of the family's 1533-position model. The record is from RNAcentral.